GUCCUAGCCCUAAACGAUGGAUGCUUGGUGUGAGGGGAAUUAUCCCCUUCGCGCCGGAGCUAACGCGUUAAGUGAACCGCCUGGGGAGUACGGUCGCAAGACUAAAACUCAAAGGAAUUGACGGGGCCCGCACAAGCGGUGGAGCAUGUGGCUUAAUUCGAUGCAACGCGAAGAACCUUACCAGGGUUUGACAUGCCCGUCGUAUCCCCUUGAAAGAGGGGGUCAGUUCGGCUGGACGGUGCACAGGUGCUGCAUGGCUGUCGU
Molecule: ribosomal RNA, 264 nt
Filed under: uncultured bacterium
Lineage: Bacteria
Description: partial 16S ribosomal RNA
Rfam family: Bacterial small subunit ribosomal RNA
Source: RNAcentral